CAGUAUUAAGAAAGGAGAGAAGGUUAGCACUCCCCUUGACAAGAGGCCCCUCAGGCCUGACAACAUGCAUAUGGUUAAGGCAUUGCCAUCUACUUCAUGGCAUCCAGUCAUCAUUUUUU
Ursus americanus (American black bear) is the source of this 119-nucleotide small nuclear RNA. The record is from Ensembl. NCBI's taxonomy places the organism in Eukaryota, Metazoa, Chordata, Mammalia, Carnivora, Ursidae.